GCCUUCGUGGUGCAGUGGUGAGCACGCUCGGCGUGUAACCGAGAGAUUCGUGGUUCGAUUCCCGACGAAGGCG
Molecule: non-coding RNA, 73 nt
Organism: Stegodyphus mimosarum
Lineage: Eukaryota; Metazoa; Arthropoda; Arachnida; Araneae; Eresidae
Source: Rfam